GUGUCAGCCGCCGCGGUAAUACGUAGGUGGCGAGCGUUGUCCGGAUUUACUGGGCGUAAAGGGCUUGUAGGCGGUCCGUUAAGUCCGAUGUGAAAUCUCCCGGCUCAACUGGGAGAGGUCAUUGGAUACUGGCGGACUAGAGGGGGGUAGAGGAAAGCAGAAUUCCUGGUGUAGCGGUGAAAUGCGUAGAUAUCAGGAGGAAUACCAGUGGCGAAGGCGGCUUUCUGGGCCUACCCUGACGCUGAGGAGCGAAAGCGUGGGGAGCAAACCGGAUUAGAAACCCCGGUAGUCC
This 292-nucleotide ribosomal RNA is filed under the name uncultured bacterium. RNAcentral describes it as "partial 16S ribosomal RNA". It matches the Rfam family "Bacterial small subunit ribosomal RNA", at positions 505 to 796 of the family's 1533-position model. The record is from RNAcentral.